AUUGAACGCUGGCGGCAUGCCUUACACAUGCAAGUCGAACGGUAACAGGGAGCUUGCUCCGCUGACGAGUGGCGAACGGGUGAGUAAUACAUCGGAACGUGUCCUGUAGUGGGGGAUAGCCCGGCGAAAGCCGGAUUAAUACCGCAUACGCUCUACGGAGGAAAGGGGGGGAUCUUCGGACCUCUCGCUAUAGGGGCGGCCGAUGGCAGAUUAGCUAGUUGGUGGGGUAAAGGCCUACCAAGGCGACGAUCUGUAGCUGGUCUGAGAGGACGACCAGCCACACUGGGACUGAGACACGGCCCAGACUCCUACGGGAGGCAGCAGUGGGGAAUUUUGGACAAUGGGCGCAAGCCUGAUCCAGCAAUGCCGCGUGUGUGAAGAAGGCCUUCGGGUUGUAAAGCACUUUUGUUCGGGAAGAAAAGGAGCGGGCUAAUAUCCUGCUCUGAUGACGGUACCGGAAGAAUAAGCACCGGCUAACUACGUGC
RNAcentral lists this ribosomal RNA (485 nucleotides) under uncultured bacterium. RNAcentral's name for it is "bacterial SSU rRNA". It matches the Rfam family "Bacterial small subunit ribosomal RNA", at positions 30 to 508 of the family's 1533-position model. The record is from RNAcentral.